AGAUCACAUGGGUGGUGGCUGUGAGGUAAACACGAUAUGAUACGGUACGAUUGGCGUGAAGUGCGUGAAGUGGCGUUUAGAAAUACUGAAUGAAGAAUCAAGCCUGCGGCGACGUGACAGAAAUAAGUGUUGGAAACUGAGAGGCAGGGCGAUUUCCCACAGAUGUCACAGAUCCGCUCAGAGAAACUCAAUGAAGAAGAGGAGAUGAGAAGAAGAGAUUAUAUCUCUUCCUCCUCCUCCAAAGACAACGUAGAAAAGACAACAAUAGAAAAUGGACUUCACGAUCAAAACCAGCAUCUCCCGCCUGGUCUCCGUUUUCUGUUUGAUGAGGAACUCUUUUAUUCCAGCUAAGUUUGCGAAAGAGAGAGAGAGAGAGAGAGAGAGAGAGAGAGAGAGAGAGAGAGAGAGAGAGAGAGAGAGAGAGAGAGCUGUUUGAUAAAGAAGAGGUCCCCCUACUCCUCCAAGAUAUAGAAAACGGACUUCACGAUCUAAACCAGCAUCUGCCGCCUGGUCUCCGUUUUCUGUUUGAUGGUGAACUCUCGUAUGCCAACUAAGUUUGCGAGGGGAGAGAGAGAGAGAGAGAGAGAGAGAGAGAGAGAGAGAGAGAGAGAGAGAGAGAGAGAGAGAGAGGUUGUCAGGUAACACACACACACACACACACACACACACACACACACACACACACACACACACACACACACACACACACACAUACACACAUUAAAAAAAAAAAGCGAAAGUUGUACCAUUACUUAAAUCAGGCAAUAGAUCCGAUAUUAAAAAUCACAGGCCCAUCUCAAUACUUCCGGCAUUCAGCAAGGUUUUUAAAAAGUUAUUACUUCCCGUCUUGUUACAUGUUUUGAAAAUAAUAAUCUACUCCGGACUAUCAGCAUGAGUUCAGGACAGGUCGUUCAACAGAAAUAGCUGUUGUACAGUUCACAUCUAAUGUAUAUCAAUAUCUAGAAAAGAAACAUUAUUCAAUAGGAGUAUUCUUUGACCUAUCUAAAGCAUUCGAUAUAGUGAGUCACAAAAUUCUGUUGAAUGAGCUUAGUCCCUGUGGUGUUAGAGGUAUUCCCUUAAAAAAAACUCCUUGAAAGUUGUUUAGCCGAUAGGUCACACGCUGUAUACUGCAGUCUGGGCCUCUACCUGGCAGUCCUUCAUUAAAAAAAUAUCAGUAGCUCAAAUUAAAAUGUUUAGGUGCAUAUUUUAUAUGAAGAGAUUUGAGUCAACACGAAAUAUACUUGAUACACAAAAUUUUCUUAGCUUUACAAAUAUUCAUAAAUAUUUUUUACUGUUAAGCAUUUACAAGUACAUUACAUAGCAUUGUGGAGCUCAGUUUUUCAGACUGGUGCGCACAUCAUGCAACACUCGAGGUAAUAAUAUCAAUGUCGUAUGUUCACACUUCAGAACGUCUCUCCUUAACCACAGUAUACUAUAAUCCGGUUCCCAAAUGUGGAAAUCAUUGCCUUUACAAAUCAAGAUUCUUCUCAGUAGUGUUAAUUCAUCCAUUUUUAAAAAAGUCUGUGAAAACAUAUUUAUGUAAUUGCUAAAAUAAUUAAUAUUAUAUACGUAGUACUGUUAAAACUUAAAAACUAAUAUU
Molecule: long non-coding RNA, 1600 nt
Organism: Scylla paramamosain (green mud crab)
Lineage: Eukaryota; Metazoa; Arthropoda; Malacostraca; Decapoda; Portunidae
Exons: 3
Source: RefSeq, a predicted model, not a curated record